UGGGGAAUAUUGCACAAUGGGGGAAACCCUGAUGCAGCGACGCCGCGUGAGCGAAGAAGGUUUUCGAAUCGUAAAGCACUGUCCUAUGGGAAGAUAAUGACGGUACCAUAGGAGGAAGCCCCGGCUAACUACGUGCCAGCAGCCGCGGUAAUACGUAGGGGGCAAGCGUUGUCCGGAAUCACUGGGCGUAAAGGGUUCGCAGGCGGAAAUGAAAGUCAGUUGUGAAAGGCAGAGGCUCAACCUCUGUAAGCAAUUGAAACUGUAUUUCUUGAGAUGUGGAGAGGCAAGUGGAAUUCCUAGUGUAGCGGUGAAAUGCGUAGAUAUUAGGAAGAAUACCGGUGGCGAAGUCGACUUGCUGGACACAAACUGACGCUGAGGAACGAAAGCGUGGGUAGCAAACAGG
Molecule: ribosomal RNA, 403 nt
Filed under: Fusobacteriota bacterium
Lineage: Bacteria; Fusobacteriati; Fusobacteriota
Description: Fusobacteria bacterium partial 16S ribosomal RNA
Rfam family: Bacterial small subunit ribosomal RNA
Source: RNAcentral